GGAUUGUGGCUCAGUGGUAGAGCGCUCACCUAGCAUGUGCAAGGCCCUGGGUUUGAUCCUCAGCACCA
Molecule: transfer RNA, 68 nt
Filed under: Marmota monax (woodchuck)
Lineage: Eukaryota; Metazoa; Chordata; Mammalia; Rodentia; Sciuridae
Description: tRNA.Ala
Source: RNAcentral